CCUACGGGAGGCAGCAGUGGGGAAUAUUGGGCAAUGGGCGCAAGCCUGACCCAGCAACGCCGCGUGAAGGAAGAAGGCCCUCGGGUUGUAAACUUCUUUUAAGAGGGACGAAACAAAUGACGGUACCUCUUGAAUAAGCCACGGCUAACUACGUGCCAGCAGCCGCGGUAAUACGUAGGUGGCAAGCGUUAUCCGGAUUUACUGGGUGUAAAGGGCGUGUAGGCGGGUCUGCAAGUCAGAUGUGAAAUUUCAGGGCUCAACCCUGAACCUGCAUUUGAAACUGUAGAUCUUGAGUGAUGGAGAGGCAGGCGGAAUUCCGUGUGUAGCGGUGAAAUGCGUAGAUAUACGGAGGAACACCAGUGGCGAAGGCGGCCUGCUGGACAUUAACUGACGCUGAGGCGCGAAAGCGUGGGGAGCAAACAGGAUUAGAUACCCUUG
RNAcentral lists this ribosomal RNA (438 nucleotides) under uncultured bacterium. Its description in RNAcentral is "bacterial SSU rRNA". It matches the Rfam family "Bacterial small subunit ribosomal RNA", at positions 338 to 790 of the family's 1533-position model. The record is from RNAcentral.